This 250-nucleotide ribosomal RNA is filed under the name uncultured bacterium. RNAcentral describes it as "partial 16S ribosomal RNA". It matches the Rfam family "Bacterial small subunit ribosomal RNA", at positions 524 to 773 of the family's 1533-position model. The record is from RNAcentral.
UACAGAGGGGGCAAGCGUUGUUCGGAAUUACUGGGCGUAAAGGGCGCGUAGGCGGCCUGCUAAGUCGAACGUGAAAUCCCUGGGCUCAACCCAGGAACUGCGUCCGAUACUGGUUGGCUUGAAUCCGGGAGAGGGAUGUGGAAUUCCAGGUGUAGCGGUGAAAUGCGUAGAUAUCUGGAGGAACACCGGUGGCGAAGGCGACAUCCUGGACCGGUAUUGACGCUGAGGCGCGAAAGCCAGGGGAGCAAAC